AUCUUCUUACAUUUUGGCGCAAGAGAGAGAGAGAAAAUAUUCUCUCUAGGGUCUCUCCCUAAAACCUUCUUUAACCUAGCCGCCGCUCUUCUCAACUCAACUAUCUCGGUGGCCGGAUGCUCCUGCUCCGGUCGCCACCCCUCACCGUCCCGUACCGUUACCCAAGCCUUUCCCCUUAGUCUCCUCUCCGUUUACUCCUCCUCUUUGUCGGUUGUCUCUGGAUUUUUGCCGAUUCUCGGUGAAUCUAAAUAGGAGCCACUCGUGUGUGUGUGUUGCCUCUGGAGCGCUGACGAGGUGUAGUUCCGUCGGGGAGUCUAAGGAGCCUUCGACUGCAGCCCUUCUCGUCAAAUCGGAGCAGAUCUGGGUCAGAUCUGACCUCGUCCCGCCGGUAAGGAUGGUGUAGCGUCGCUGCCUCCUCUUCCCCUUUUCGGUUUGGCUUGUACCCGUACGACCUUUAGUGGUCUGUCUCUCAAGGCUCUGUAGAGCUUCUCUUCCUCUGUUUGGAGUGAUGGCGGUGUUUAGGCUCACCGAUUCAGAGGACCUCUUUUUUUAGUUUCAAGUAAAGAUAGCCUGGUGUCUCACAGGUGACUCUGCGAAGUCCCUCUUCUUGCUUUCUGAUUCCGGUUCACAGGGUCCUGAGGACAACCCGCUGCAACCGUGUCGUCGGCUUAAGAUGGUGACCUCGCUAACCUGUUGCCUCACCUGUUGUUGAGGAGAUUCUCGAUCUCCUUCUGUACUUCAUCCUCGAUUUCCUAGCUCCGGCGAAGCCGAGUGUUUACACUUGAUGUCUCCUCUGCUCUGUUGUGUCGCGUGGCCGGAGGGAGCUUAUUAUACCGCCUGCGCUUGACUGAAUCAGUUCUUCAUCUCCUGCGAGGAAACGUCGGGUUUGUGCUUUGGUCUAUCACCGAGUUAGCUUUGGGUUUCUUUGCUCGACGUCCUCCUCCUAUGGUGUACCGGAGCCGUUGCCUGUCGCCUCCGUUGAAGCCUCUUGGAGCCACCUCUGGGUGAGAGUUCGUGCAUUUUGCCUCUUAGUUUUACUCUUGUCUCUUCUCUGAAGCAACAAGAAGCGCUUGGAUUUGAGUUGCAUUGUCUUUGCUUGUUCUAUUGUGUUGUGAAUGUCAAGAAAACCAUUAUUGGUAAGCUUGAUGUUACUUUUCUGUUUCAUAGAUGUUUUUUAUCUUUUUUGCGGCAUCUACGAACAAACCAGCUUGUUAGCAGAAUCUGGUUCAAUCUGAUUGUAACCAAACCUUUGUUCCUUUGGAAUAAUAUUUACAAUUUAGCAAAAAAAAAAAAAUAAUAAAAAAUAAAAAGGUACGACGAC
RNAcentral lists this long non-coding RNA (1321 nucleotides) under Brassica napus (rape). RNAcentral describes it as "long non-coding RNA (BNAP_LNC002903)". The record is from RNAcentral. Lineage: Eukaryota; Viridiplantae; Streptophyta; Magnoliopsida; Brassicales; Brassicaceae.